GCCUGGGUGGCUCAGUUGGUUAAGCAUCUGACUGUUGAUUUCUGCUCAGUUCAUGAUCUCACAGUUUGUGGGUUUGAGCCCCACAUCAGGCU
Molecule: transfer RNA, 92 nt
Filed under: Felis catus (domestic cat)
Lineage: Eukaryota; Metazoa; Chordata; Mammalia; Carnivora; Felidae
Rfam family: tRNA
About the family: Transfer RNA (tRNA) molecules are approximately 80 nucleotides in length. Their secondary structure includes four short double-helical elements and three loops (D, anti-codon, and T loops).
Source: Rfam by way of RNAcentral